UUUUAACAAUGGAAAAAAUAUAUAACAAUGAAUAAAAAGAUACACAUCAUAUGCUUAGAUUUUUAGUUGUUUCCUUUUCUAAUAAAAGUAUUGUUAUCAUUGGCGAAUCAUGCUAAAUAUACUCAAAACUCAUAUUAAGUGACGUCUGUAUGUCAUAAUAUUCAGUCAUCUUGAGUUUUGAAACUGCUGUAACACAGAACACAAA
RNAcentral lists this long non-coding RNA (205 nucleotides) under Brassica napus (rape). RNAcentral's name for it is "long non-coding RNA (BNAP_LNC000269)". Lineage: Eukaryota; Viridiplantae; Streptophyta; Magnoliopsida; Brassicales; Brassicaceae. The record is from RNAcentral.